This 879-nucleotide ribosomal RNA is filed under the name uncultured Zetaproteobacteria bacterium. RNAcentral's name for it is "bacterial SSU rRNA". It matches the Rfam family "Bacterial small subunit ribosomal RNA", at positions 26 to 896 of the family's 1533-position model. Lineage: Bacteria; Pseudomonadati; Pseudomonadota; Candidatius Mariprofundia. The record is from RNAcentral.
GUGACGACGCUGGCGGCGUGCCUAACACAUGCAAGUCGAACGGUAACAGGGACUUCGGUCCGCUGACGAGUGGCGCACGGGUGAGUAACGCGUGGAGUUACCUGCCCAUCAGUGGGGAACAACUCCGGGAAACSGGAGCUAAUACCGCAUACGACCUUCGGGUGAAAGAGGGGGAUCUUCGGACCUCUCGCUGAUGGAUGGUUCCGCGUCCGAUUAGUUAGUUGGUAAGGUAAUGGCUUACCAAGACGAUGAUCGGUAGCUGGUCUGAGAGGAUGAUCAGCCACACUGGAACUGAGACACGGUCCAGACUCCUACGGGAGGCAGCAGUGGGGAAUUUUGCACAAUGGGCGAAAGCCUGAUGCAGCGACGCCGCGUGCGGGAAGAAGGCCUUCGGGUUGUAAACCGCUUUCAACAGGGAAGAAGGAAUGAGGGCCAAUACCCCUCUGCCUUGACGGUACCUGUAGAAGAAGCCCCGGCUAAUUUCGUGCCAGCAGCCGCGGUAAUACGAAAGGGGCAAGCGUUGUUCGGAUUUACUGGGCGUAAAGAGAUCGUAGGUGGCUUGUUAAGUCGGAUGUGAAAUCCCGGGGCUCAACCCCGGAACUGCAUUCGAUACUGGCAGGCUUGAGUUCGGGAGGGGGAAGCGGAAUUCCGUGUGUAGCAGUGAAAUGCGUAGAUAUACGGAGGAACACCUGAGGCGAAGGCGGCUUCCUGGACCGAUACUGACACUGAGGAUCGAAAGCGUGGGUAGCAAACAGGAUUAGAUACCCUGGUAGUCCACGCCCUAAACGAUGUCUACUAGCCCGUUGCGGGUAUCGACCCCCUGCMGUGGCGCAGCUAACGCGAUAAGUAGACCGCCUGGGGAGUACGGCCGCAAUCUCA